AUUGAACGCUGGCGGCAUGCCUUACACAUGCAAGUCGAACGGCAGCACGGGAGCAAUCCUGGUGGCGAGUGGCGAACGGGUGAGUAAUAUAUCGGAACGUGCCCAGUCGUGGGGAUAACGUAGCGAAAGCUACGCUAAUACCGCAUACGAUCUAUGGAUGAAAGCGGGGGGAUCGCAAGACCUCGCGCGAUUGGAGCGGCCGAUAUCAGAUUAGGUAGUUGGUGAGGUAAAGGCUCACCAAGCCGACGAUCUGUAGCUGGUCUGAGAGGACGACCAGCCACACUGGGACUGAGACACGGCCCAGACUCCUACGGGAGGCAGCAGUGGGGGAAUUUUUGGGACAAUGGGCGCAAGCCUGAUCCAGCAAUGCCGCGUGCAGGAUGAAGGCCUUC
RNAcentral lists this ribosomal RNA (392 nucleotides) under uncultured bacterium. RNAcentral describes it as "bacterial SSU rRNA". It matches the Rfam family "Bacterial small subunit ribosomal RNA", at positions 30 to 419 of the family's 1533-position model. The record is from RNAcentral.